AGUGAACGCUGGCGGUAGGCCUAACACAUGCAAGUCGAACGGCAGCACAGUAAGAGCUUGCUCUUACGGGUGGCGAGUGGCGGACGGGUGAGGAAUACAUCGGAAUCUACUUUUUCGUGGGGGAUAACGUAGGGAAACUUACGCUAAUACCGCAUACGACCUACGGGUGAAAGCAGGGGAUCUUCGGACCUUGCGCGAUUGAAUGAGCCGAUGUCGGAUUAGCUAGUUGGCGGGGUAAAGGCCCACCAAGGCGACGAUCCGAAGCUGGUCUGAGAGGAUGAUCAGCCACACUGGAACUGAGACACGGUCCAGACUCCUACGGGAGGCAGCAGUGGGGAAUAUUGGACAAUGGGCGCAAGCCUGAUCCAGCCAUACCGCGUGGGUGAAGAAGGCCUUCGGGUUGUAAAGCCCUUUUGUUGGGAAAGAAAAGCAGCAGGUUAAUACCCCGCUGUUCUGACGGUACCCAAAGAAUAAGCACCGGCUAACUUCGUGC
RNAcentral lists this ribosomal RNA (493 nucleotides) under uncultured bacterium. RNAcentral's name for it is "partial 16S ribosomal RNA". It matches the Rfam family "Bacterial small subunit ribosomal RNA", at positions 29 to 508 of the family's 1533-position model. The record is from RNAcentral.